UGUGGUUUGCCGUUGUCUGUGCGUUGUUACUUCGCAUGCGCAUCCGUAAACCAGCAAC
Molecule: microRNA precursor, 58 nt
Filed under: Melibe leonina
Lineage: Eukaryota; Metazoa; Mollusca; Gastropoda; Nudibranchia; Dendronotidae
Description: microRNA mle-mir-1988a precursor
Source: miRBase by way of RNAcentral